Molecule: ribosomal RNA, 440 nt
Filed under: uncultured bacterium
Lineage: Bacteria
Description: partial 16S ribosomal RNA
Rfam family: Bacterial small subunit ribosomal RNA
Source: RNAcentral
CCUACGGGAGACAGCAGUGGGGAAUAUUGCACAAUGGGGGAAACCCUGAUGCAGCGACGCCGCGUGAGCGAUGAAGUAUUUCGGUAUGUAAAGCUCUAUCAGCAGGGACGAAAAUGACGGUACCUGACUAAGAAGCCCCGGCUAACUACGUGCCAGCAGCCGCGGUAAUACGUAGGGUGCAAGCGUUAUCCGGAUUUACUGGGUGUAAAGGGAGCGUAGACGGCUGUGCAAGCCAGAUGUGAAAGCCCGGGGCUCAACCCCGGGACUGCAUUUGGAACUGUGUGGCUGGAGUGUCGGAGAGGAAGGCGGAAUUCCCAGUGUAGCGGUGAAAUGCGUAGAUAUUAGGAGGAACUCCAGUGGCGAAGGCGGCCUGCUGGACGAUGACUGACGUUGAGGCUCGAAAGCGUGGGGAGCAAACAGGAUUAGAUACCCUAGUAGUC